CCAAAAACUCUCAACAACAGAUAUCUCGGCUCUCGCAUCGAUGAAGAAUGUAGCAAAAUGCGAUAAUAGUGUGAAUUGCAGAAUCUCAUGAACCAUCGAGUCUUUGAACGCAAGUUGCGCCUGAAGUCAUCAGGCCAAGGGCACGUCUGCCUGGGCAUCACGUAUCGC
RNAcentral lists this ribosomal RNA (168 nucleotides) under Haldina cordifolia. RNAcentral describes it as "5.8S ribosomal RNA". It matches the Rfam family "5.8S ribosomal RNA". Rfam says of the family: 5.8S ribosomal RNA (5.8S rRNA) is a component of the large subunit of the eukaryotic ribosome. Lineage: Eukaryota; Viridiplantae; Streptophyta; Magnoliopsida; Gentianales; Rubiaceae. The record is from RNAcentral.